AUUGAACGCUGGCGGCAGGCCUAACACAUGCAAGUCGGACGGUAGCACAGAGGAGCUUGCUCCUCGGGUGACGAGUGGCGGACGGGUGAGUAAUGUCUGGGAAACUGCCCGAUGGAGGGGGAUAACUACUGGAAACGGUAGCUAAUACCGCAUAACGUCGCAAGGCCAAAGUGGGGGACCUUCGGGCCUCACACCAUCGGAUGUGCCCAGAUGGGAUUAGCUGGUAGGCGGGGUAACGGCCCACCUAGGCGCAGAUCCCUAGCUGGUCUGGGAGGGUGACCAGCCACACUGGAACUGCGACACGGUCCAGGCUCCUACGGGAGGCAGCAUUGGGGAAUAUUGCACAAUGGGCGCAAGCCUGAUGCAGCCAUGCCGCGUGUAUGAAGAAGGCCUUCGGGUUGUAAAGUACUUUCAGCGGGGAGGAAGGUGCUGAGGUUAAUAAGCUCAGCAAUUGACGUUACCCGCAGAAGAAGCACCGGCUAACUCCGUGCCAGCCGCCGCAGUAA
This 506-nucleotide ribosomal RNA is filed under the name uncultured bacterium. RNAcentral's name for it is "partial 16S ribosomal RNA". It matches the Rfam family "Bacterial small subunit ribosomal RNA", at positions 29 to 523 of the family's 1533-position model. The record is from RNAcentral.